GUUGUAAUACGUCAGUUUUAUUGUCGGACUGCAGUAUAUUUACGAAAACCUAUAAGAUUCAUACGUUCGACGGUCAGGAAUUCUAAUUCGUGAAAACAUUGCUUAUUUGUGACUUCAAAUGGGCUUUGGAUAUAUUUUCGGUAAGUCUAGUGACCCGGUUCUGUGUGGCUUUUUUUCGUUUUAUUACUUGAAUUGUUGUUUAAUUUGUUGAUGCUGUUGUUAUUAUUUUGCUUUGUUGUUUCGGGCUGAUCUGAUGAGUCAAUGCUUUCCCAACUGAUGUUUACAGUUUUAACAUCGCAAUGACCGUGAGGGUAUUCCGAUGUAUUGCUAUCGUCU
Molecule: long non-coding RNA, 336 nt
Filed under: Mytilus galloprovincialis (Mediterranean mussel)
Lineage: Eukaryota; Metazoa; Mollusca; Bivalvia; Mytilida; Mytilidae
Source: RNAcentral